This 253-nucleotide ribosomal RNA is filed under the name uncultured bacterium. RNAcentral describes it as "partial 16S ribosomal RNA". It matches the Rfam family "Bacterial small subunit ribosomal RNA", at positions 524 to 776 of the family's 1533-position model. The record is from RNAcentral.
UACGAAGGGGGCUAGCGUUGUUCGGAAUCACUGGGCGUAAAGGGUGCGCAGGCGGAUUUUUUAGUCAGGGGUGAAAUCCCGAGGCUCAACCUCGGAACUGCCUUUGAUACUGGAGGUCUAGAGUCCGGAAGAGGUGAGUGGAACUGCGAGUGUAGAGGUGAAAUUCGUAGAUAUUCGCAAGAACACCGGUGGCGAAGGCGGCUCACUGGUCCGGAACUGACGCUGAGGUGCGAAAGCGUGGGGAGCAAACAGG